This is a non-coding RNA of Brachypodium distachyon (stiff brome), 125 nucleotides long. Lineage: Eukaryota; Viridiplantae; Streptophyta; Magnoliopsida; Poales; Poaceae. The record is from Rfam.
AAUGUACCCCCUCUGUCCCAUAUUAAGUGACGGAAUAUUACAUGUAUUUAGACGAUUUUUGGAUAUAGAUACAUUCAUAUUUGGACAAAUUUGAGUCACUUAAUAUGGGACCGAGGGAGUAACUG